UAAUGGCGGUAAGUGUUAAUUGUAGUAAUUUCACAGCUGACUUGAACAAACGCUUUCUGCUUUCGUCUUGAGCAGUCUGUCAUGAAUAUUCCUCAAAAUUUGUCAAAAUUUAGCGUUUUGAUAAAACUUGUGUUCGUGAUUUUGUUAUCUAAGCUUUUCUUAUGGGUUCAAGAGGGCAAUAAAAACGAUAUGCAGUUGAUUCCACUGUUGAUCUUACAAGAAGAACAAAAUAUAGACGAUGAAAGCAGUUGCGUGCUGCAAUGGAGAUAGAUCAAGCAACUUCAUCUGAUAUGAUUCAAGGUCAUCAACAUGAUCAAGAGACACAGGCACAGGCAUGUCAGGAGAAUGGAAAAAUUGAUGUUGUUUCCAACUUAAUAAUAAUGGCCUUGGACAUGAAGCACUGCAGUACAUGAAUAUAUGAACAUGAACCACAGUAGCAGAACCACAUUGGCUCCAGAUAUAAUGGAAUUUUUCUAUCUGUAAAUGUGAUUUUCAUCUUCAUUCCUGGUAAAACCACUCUGGCUCCAAAAUUGAACUGAAGAAAUGCACUAAUGUUACUCAGAAGAGAUUUGAUAAAUUUGGUCAAGUGGUUCUCACGUCACGUGCUCGUUGUCAUUUUGUGGAGAUGCAUCAAGCAUUUUAAUGACUUUAUUCUGUGUAGGCUUUCUUUCAUCAUAAGACAAGAAAAUGUAUGCGAUAUUUUGGAAUUCUGCACCUUCAAUCUUCAAAGAUCGCAAUAUCAGAUUCCAUCCGUUGCAAUCACAUGGUAAAAUAUUGGAUUCCAGGGUUAAAAAAUUACUUCAUCAUAUAACUAAAUGCCUUUUUCAAAUCUUGAAAAAGUUUGACGUAAAAUAAUAUUGAAUAUAUAAUUUUAAUUGGAGUAUAUUGAUUAAAUCUACCGCAUUCAGCAGCUAAAUAAUUGCAGGCUGCCAACAUGUA
Xenia sp. Carnegie-2017 is the source of this 939-nucleotide long non-coding RNA. RefSeq lists it as uncharacterized. Lineage: Eukaryota; Metazoa; Cnidaria; Anthozoa; Malacalcyonacea; Xeniidae. The record is from RefSeq and is a predicted model, not a curated record. The transcript is spliced from 3 exons.